UGCCAGCAGCCGCGGUAAGACAGAGGGUGCAAGCGUUGUUCGGAAUCAUUGGGCGUAAAGGGCGUCUAGGCGGUUACGUAAGUCUGAUGUGAAAGCCCGGGGCUCAACCUCGGAAGUGCAUCGGAAACUGUGUAACUUGAAUCCCGGAGAGGGUGGUGGAAUUCCAGGUGUAGAGGUGAAAUUCGUAGAUAUCUGGAGGAACAACAGAGGCGAAGGCGGCUUACUGGACUGUGACUGACACUAAGGUGCGAAAGCGUGGGUAGCAAACGGGAUUAGAUA
This 279-nucleotide ribosomal RNA is filed under the name uncultured bacterium. RNAcentral's name for it is "partial 16S ribosomal RNA". It matches the Rfam family "Bacterial small subunit ribosomal RNA", at positions 506 to 784 of the family's 1533-position model. The record is from RNAcentral.